Molecule: ribosomal RNA, 420 nt
Filed under: bacterium
Lineage: Bacteria
Description: partial 16S ribosomal RNA
Rfam family: Bacterial small subunit ribosomal RNA
Source: RNAcentral
UGGGGGAUAUUGCACAAUGGGCGAAAGCCUGAUGCAGCGACGCCGCGUGGGGGAUGACGGCUUUCGGGUUGUAAACCUCUUUCGCUAUCGAACAAGGCCCGCUUAGGGUGGGUUGAGGGUAGGUGGAGAAGAAGCGCCGGCUAACUACGUGCCAGCAGCCGCGGUAAUACGUAGGGCGCGAGCGUUGUCCGGAAUUAUUGGGCGUAAAGGGCUUGUAGGCGGCUUGUUGCGCCUGCUGUGAAAACGCGGGGCUUAACUUCGCGCGUGCAGUGGGUACGGGCAGGCUUGAGUGUGGUAGGGGUGACUGGAAUUCCAGGUGUAGCGGUGGAAUGCGCAGAUAUCUGGAGGAACACCGAUGGCGAAGGCAGGUCACUGGGCCAUUACUGACGCUGAGGAGCGAAAGCAUGGGUAGCGAACAGG